CCUGCAUCAAGUGACACUACACUGCUCCCAUGCCCGGCAACGAAGACGGACAAAGCCCCUGCUCCGGCUUUAGAGUUGUCAAUUGGGUCGGGCCGGCCCAGCCCGAACCGGCCCAAGCCCGGUAUGGGCCGGCCCAGGACCAGCCCACUUGAUCGAAUGGGUUAGUUGGGCCGGGCCAGCCCUUUGAAAUGGGCUCCAUUUGGGUUAUUUAUCAAACCCAAGCCCGGCCCAGGACCAGGAUCGUUAGAAGCCCAGCCCAAGCCCGGCCCAGGACCAGGACCAGGCCCAGCCCAGGACCGGCCCAAGCCCAAUAAUUUAGGUUAAAUAUUAUUUAUAUAUUUAUUCCUCUUAUUCAAUAUUCAAUUCCCUACACAAUUUAGCAAUACUAAAAUAUUAAACCUAUUUAAUUUCCUAUUCAAAUACGUCCCCAAUUCAAUCUUCUAUUCAAACUUAUUAAAAUAUUAAAUUUAUUAAAUAUGAACGUGCACAUUAUUUAUAUGAUCCAUAUUAUAAUUAGUUUUCUAUUUUGACAAGGACCAUUUGAAUAGGAAAUAAAUAAGCUCAAAAUAAUUUAAAGAUAACGAUUACAAAUUUAAAACAAUCUAAAAUUGAAAACUCAUUCGUACCCAACUGAAGCUCAUUCGAAGUACAACCCAGUAUAAGCCCAUCAUACUCGACCCAGCAUAAGCCCAUGUGAGGCCCGGCCCAUUUAAGGCCCAAGCCCACUAGACAUGUGGUCCUGAAUCGGGCUGGGUUCGAUAUUUUAUAAAAAGCCCGGCCCAGGACCGGCCCAUUUCAAAUGUGGGCUUGGGCUGGGCUGGGCCUAACUCCUUACGGGCUCAACCGGGCCUGGGCCGGGCCGGGCUGGCCCAGCCCAGUUGACAACUCUAUCCGGCUUCCACUCCACCCACCGUCGCGCCGGCGUCUCUCUCUUGCGUUAGGUUUUAGAUCUCUCUUUCACACGUUCUCUAUGUCUCUCUCUUUUUCACACAAUUUCUAUGUGUCUUCCUCUCUUUUGGAUCUAAUUUCUCUCUCUCCAAAGUUGCAGUUAAAUUGUAUUCGAAGCAAAGAGCUAGCAGUCACCGCUCGCCUCGCUGAAAGGUUUUAAUUUUUUCAUUAACUUUGAUUUUAAUUGCUUUUUUGAUAAGGUGAGUUAUGAAAUAGGAGCUCUAAUAUUCGAGUGUGAUAGCAUAUAAAUCCUGAUUUGAGAUUCAAUCUCUCACUCUACCACAAUAAUGGUGAGGAAGUUCAAGUUCCUCUAGAAAAGCUGCUUCCAGAUCUCGACCUAGCUAGCUCAUCAGGAAUCUCAUGAUGAUUUGGAAUAAUAAUUUUAGUUCGUGUGUCUUUGGAAUUUCAU
Molecule: long non-coding RNA, 1357 nt
Filed under: Salvia miltiorrhiza (redroot sage)
Lineage: Eukaryota; Viridiplantae; Streptophyta; Magnoliopsida; Lamiales; Lamiaceae
Description: long non-coding RNA (SMIL_LNC001897)
Source: RNAcentral